GGUUAUGGCUCAGCGGUAGAGUGCUUGCCUAGCACGUGCAAGGCCCUGGGUUCAAUCCUCAGCACCG
Molecule: transfer RNA, 67 nt
Filed under: Marmota monax (woodchuck)
Lineage: Eukaryota; Metazoa; Chordata; Mammalia; Rodentia; Sciuridae
Description: tRNA.Ala
Source: RNAcentral